UUUAACAGAUGUUUACUGUGAGGAUCAUUACAGUCAGCCAUGGGUCUUCCUGGGAAACAGACGUGGACAUGGACACUGUAUGUCCUUUUUUGUGGGAUGUGUGUUGGUCAGCUGGUGCCAGAACCACAUUACAUGGUGGCCUUUCCAGCAGUCCUUGAAGCUGGAGCUGAGACCAAGUUCUGCGUGAGCCUCUUUCAGCCCAAUGAGACUUUAGUCCUGACUGUCACUCUGAGGUCCCAAGAGAGGAACACGACUCUUUGUGAAAAGACUUCCAGCACAGAGUUUCAUGACUGCCUUCAGUGUCAGAUUCCUUCUGUAGAAAAAGAAGACAUUUGGGACAUUGAGGUAGUGGUACGGGGAAACACGUUUUACUCCAGAGAAGUAAGGAAAGUCAUGAUUAACGACUAUAAACCAAAAACCUUCAUCCAAACAGAUAAACCCAUCUACCUCCCUGGACAGACAGUGCAUUUCAGAUUGGUCACACUGGAUUCCCAGCUGAGACCUGCUAAUCAGUUGUACAACCUAAUCGAACUUGAGGAUCCUUACGGAAACAGGAUUGGGCAGUGGCUCAAUGAAACAUCCAACAGCAAAAUAUUGCAGCUUUCUUACUCGUUGAACUCUGAGGCCCGAGAAGGAUCCUACAAACUCAUCACGUCAACAGGUGGAGCUCAAGUAUCUCACUCCUUCAAGGUGGAGAAGUAUGUUUUGCCCAAAUUUGAUGUAACGAUAAAUGUAAAAGAUGAAGUAAGUGUUUCUGAGGAUGAGAUAGAUGCAGACAUCUGUGCAAAGUACACAUAUGGACAGUCUGUGCCAGGAAGUGUUACAGUGAAGGUGUGUCGACCUCUUCAGUACUACAGUGCGUAUGGGCAACCUAGGAAUGCAGAAGAACUCGGGGUAACCGACCCAUGUGACACACAGACAAAGAAGACAGACAAAGCUGGCUGUGCGGCUUUUCAAUUCAAAAUGUCAACUUUCACCAAACUUGACCAAAAGGUAGUGCAAGAUAAAGUUGAAGUCAGUGCCAGUGUAGAAGAAGAGGAUACCGGUGUUUCACAUCAACAAAAGAAGAGCAUAAGGAUUUCGUAUGUUCUUGGAAAACUGUCUUUUGUUGACACGCCCAAGAUUUAUGAACUAGGAUCAAAUUUGGAAGGAAAAGUAAAAGCUGUUCACCACAAUGACACACCCAUUCCUCACAUGCCACUGUACCUGCUUAUUAGAAAAACUUGGUCGACACAUUUGCUGCUGCAAAAUCUUACAACUGACAACGAUGGAUUUGCCAGCUUUUCUAUUAGCACAGACGCAUUCAGUGGAGACGCUACCCUCUAUGUCAGCAAAUCCCCAAGUGUUGGUUAUUCUUCAUAUAGAACAGCCUUCUAUGAGAUGGGGUCUCACACAGUGUCGCUCUCCCAACCUCCUUCUCCUGACACCAAAUCUAUAAGCUCCCUGAAGCUGAAGAAGAGAGAUUCACCACUUUCAUGUGACAAAGAAGAGGACAUACUUAUCAAAUAUUCAUUUGUACAAGAACCACAGGAUUCUGUGGAUAUUAUGUUUCUGGUUUUGUCCAGAGGAGCGAUUGUUUUUCAAGGACGAAAACAGGUCCAAGUGGAAGAUAAAUCAGUAAAUCAGGGGGAGAUGUCCUUUAAGUUGACAGUGUCUCCAGACAUGGCACCAAAUGUCCAGAUUGUGGCAUAUGCAGUCCUCCCCAGCAAGAAUGUGAUUGCUCACAGCGCUGACUUUGAUACCGAGAAAUGUUUCAGCAACAAGGUGUUGCUGGACAUUUCUCCAUUCCCAGCUGUACCAGGAGAGCAAGCCAACAUGAAGGUGACUGCCCAGCCAGAUUCUCUGUGUGGUGUCAGUGCCAUUGACCAGAGUGUUCUCAUCAAGGAAGCGGUCACUCUGGAUGCUGACAAGAUAUUUAAUUUGUUGCCUGUCAAAAAGGUGACAAAUACCCCAUAUAAGAUCUGGGAUCGAGCAGAAUGUUUACAUGUGAGGCCAAAGAGAUAUGCUCUGCCUUAUCCUGAUGAAAAAACAAAAGAUGCCCACACAGUUUUCCAGAACAUUGGACUAAAGAUGGCAACAAAUUUGGCUCUGAAAAUGCCUUCGUGUUUAAAAUUCAAGGGAAGAGAAUAUCAUCAAGGACACAAUGGAAUUGCUGUUGAUUAUGUAACAAGGUCACGUGGCAUGGCUGGACCACCAGUACCAGCUUUGGGCGGGAAUGCUGGACCGUUACCGACAGACAUCACAGUUCGCACCUUUUUCCCUGAAACUUGGAUAUGGGAUCUGGUGGAAGUUGGAGCAUCUGGAACAAAGGACGUACCUCUUACUGUGCCAGACACAAUCACCACCUGGGAAACGGAGACGUUCUGUUUGUCACCUCAGGGUUUUGGUUUGGCUCCUCGUGAAAAACUCACGGUCUUCCAGCCGUUUUUCCUUGAGCUUACCCUUCCCUACUCCAUCAUCCGGGGAGAAAACUUUGAGUUGAAAGCAACUGUCUUCAACUAUCUAAGCAGCUGUAUUAUGGUGAAAAUAAGUCCCGCCCCCUCCUCAGAUUUCACCCUCACCCCCCUCUCUGGUGACCAGUACACCAGCUGUUUAUGUGGAAAUGAGCGCAAAACCCUCAGGUGGAUCAUGGCUCCUACAGCUUUAGGGGUUGUGAAUGUGACCGUGACUGCUGAGGCUAUUCCGUCACACGCUUCUUGUGACAAUGAGAUUGUGAGCGUUCCAGAAAGAGGCCGCAUUGAUGUUGUAACGCGUUCUCUUAUAGUAAAGGCUGAAGGAAUAGAAGUAACAAAGACACACAACUGGCUGCUCUGCCCCAAAGGAAACACUUUGACAGAGGAAACAGAAAUACAACUUCCUGGAAAUGUGAUUGAGGGAUCUGCUCGUGCAACAGUAUCAGUCCUUGGUGACAUUCUCGGCCGUGCCCUGAAGAAUCUGGAUGGACUGCUUCAGAUGCCGUAUGGAUGUGGGGAGCAGAACAUGGCUUUACUAGCUCCAAACAUCUACAUUCUUGAAUAUUUGCAAAAAACCCAACAGCUGACCCCAGCCAUUAAAGAAAAGGCAUCAAACUUCCUAACCAGUGGAUACCAGAGACAGUUGAACUACAAAGACAUUGCAGGUGCAUACAGUACAUUUGGAUCAGGACCCGGAAACACCUGGCUGACUGCUUUUGUCCUGAGGUCUUUUCAUAAAGCUCAGUCUUUCAUCUACAUCGAUGAAACAAAGAUGGAAGCUUCAAAGACUUGGCUGAUAGAAAGGCAAAACAUCACUGGUUGUUUUGUCCAGUCAGGGAAACUGUUUAACAACAGAAUGAAGGGUGGUGUGUCUGAUGAAGUCACACUUAGUGCUUAUAUAACUGCUGCCCUCCUGGAGACGAACAGCUCCGUUAACGAUCCAGUAGUGAGCAGGAGCCUGUCGUGCCUCAGAGAGUUCACCAAUGAUUUCAGCAACACCUACACCACAGCUCUGCUGGCAUAUGUCUUCACGCUGGCAGGAGACAUGGAGACCCGUGCUCACCUUCUCCAGCACCUGGACUCAGUUGCAGUAAAACAAGGAGGUUUCACCUACUGGUCUCAGACUUCAUCAGAAACAUCUGCUUCUCUGUCUGUGGAGAUCAGCUCCUAUGUGCUGAUGGCAAAACUGGCCUUCUCUCAAACUGCUGAAGACCUGGGCUACGCCUCCAGCAUUGUUAGGUGGCUGACGACUCAGCAGAACCAUUAUGGAGGCUUCUCGUCCACGCAGGACACUGUGGUGGCUCUGCAGGCUCUGGCUCUCUACUCCAGUGCUGUGUUCAGUCCCGAAGGCUCAAGCACAGUCACAGUUCAGUCUCCCAGUGGACCGCUGGUGUUUGAUGUGAAUCAGGAGAACAAACUGCUCUACCAGGAAAAGCUGCUGCAGGAUGUGAGCGGAAAAAACAGCCUGAGGGUGGAGGGCACCACGUGUGCCUCAGUGCAGAUUUCAAUUCACUACAACAUCCCACCUCCACCUCCAGUCACCUCUAUGAGGGUGGAGGUUAAACCAGAGUUUGACACCUCCCGCAAACCCAAACUGACCCUGAAGAUCAUGUCCUUGUACAACGGGAAUGAAAUCAGCACCAAUAUGGUGAUCCUAGAUAUCGCCCUGCUUUCAGGAUUUGUUCCAGACCCACAGUCUUUAGAGAACCUCAAACUUUCUCUGCUGGUGGAUCGAGUCGAACACAAAGAUGGUCACGUUGUGGUGUACUUAGAAGGGCUGAAGAAGGAUGUACAGAUCAACCACAGCUUAGAGCUCUUACAGCAGAUCCCAGUAAACAACCUAAAGCCAGCCGUGAUUGCCCUCUAUGACUACUACCAGCCAAGUGACCGGGCUGAGAAGGAAUACACUCUAACAGCUGAAGUCUUAAAUCUCUCAUCGUGAUGAGCAGGUCUGUGACCGCCCAGUGUGACUGUUGUCGAGCACUCUCACGACCAAAUUCAGCCUCCAACUGUCUUCAAGCAGUGUCAGGAAACCCACGACUGCUGUCUGCAACCGACCAAUGAGAAUACACUCAGGGAGCUUGAAGGAUGAAGUAUGGUCGGUCCGAAGCUCAUCGGUGAUUCCAGUUUCUUCCCCGUUAAAUGACUUUACAUUCAGUGACCUUUUUACUUUUGUUGUAUUACAAAGCUGACAUCAGUUUUUGAGUUGGAAUUGUUUCCUUCCCCAUGUAACUGUGUGAUCAUGUGUAAUCUGAGCAUGAGUGACCACGCAAUAAAGCAUACAUGGUUCUUUUACUGCUUCAAAAA
RNA transcript from Nothobranchius furzeri (turquoise killifish), 4760 nucleotides. It is a transcript of the gene named alpha-2-macroglobulin-like, with no coding region annotated. Lineage: Eukaryota; Metazoa; Chordata; Actinopteri; Cyprinodontiformes; Nothobranchiidae. The record is from RefSeq and is a predicted model, not a curated record.